This is a non-coding RNA of Aegilops tauschii subsp. strangulata, 183 nucleotides long. NCBI's taxonomy places the organism in Eukaryota, Viridiplantae, Streptophyta, Magnoliopsida, Poales, Poaceae. The record is from RefSeq and is a predicted model, not a curated record.
GUUUGGAAAGUAUUCACCGCACAAGUUCCGGGACUGCCGCGGGAUCUGCGAUGGAAAUACCCGAAAUGCUUGUGGCAAGAAGCCGGGAAUAAUUACUGUGGAUACUACGUCUGCGAGUUCAUCUACAACGCGGCGGCCAAGAAUAGGCGGGGCUACUCUGAAAGACAAUAUGAAGUGCGUAAG